Molecule: long non-coding RNA, 610 nt
Organism: Dreissena polymorpha
Lineage: Eukaryota; Metazoa; Mollusca; Bivalvia; Myida; Dreissenidae
Exons: 2
Source: RefSeq, a predicted model, not a curated record
UAAAGCUUAUCAAUCAAUUGCGCAACCUCACGGUAAAAGGCAAACAAACUGAAUAAAAUGUUCAAGUGUUGGAGCACGGAUAUUCAUAGGGUAAGUCAGGUCACCAGAAACAAACACGAUUGCGCCUAAAACAUAAAUUGCGAUAGCAAAUUUUGAGGAAAGACAAACCUGUAACAUGUAAGUCUACCUCAGUAAGCAAGAUAUAAGGGACCAAUAUGGAUACCAAUAUGAGUCAUCAAGCUGAUGUCGACAUCCUUGUGUGCAACUAUAACGUCUAGCUGGUAUGCAGGACAAGUUGGAAAGACACUAUAGGCUGGCUGUGUUCGAUUCUGAAACACUACCGAGGCAUUGCUUGUUUCAGAUGAAUCGGGAUAACGCACCGUUACAGUGUGGGAAGUAAAUAUAGGAUUUCAGGCAAAGAAACGAUGAUUGUGCUCAGGGUCGGAGUAAGCUGUUUUGGGACCCAAGGCUGCACAUGUUACGGGGGCCCCUUCUCUCUGGUCCCCUUCUGUAUAUUGAAAAGUAUACUACAACUACAAAAAUUAGAAAACUUGCAUUUUUACACAGUUGACAGUUACAUGUUAUGUUUAGCAAAACAACUUAAACGAUG